UUCAGGUAGCUGGUUUAACAUACUCUGAGUUUAAUCCUGCGCUCUGAGUUGGUUGACUCAGAGUUCAGGGUUGAAAAGCAACUCUGGGUUUUCGGUUUCAGAACAGGUGAUCAGCGUUGGGUUAAUCAACUCUGAGUAUGUUCACUCUGGGUUGAGGGCGUGCCUGUUGACUAUGAAUAGCCAUCAUCAAUGGAUCUCUGAUAACAUGAUCAAACAUGGACCAAAAGCGUAGAUCCACUUACUUUUCCCCCACGGAAUUGGAAAUUCUAAUGAACGCGUAUGCCGAGCAGUUACCCAUUUUAACAAAAAAAAGCAAUACCGCCGCGGCAGCGAGAGCGCGAGAGAGAGCUUGGCAGGAAAUAGCUGAACAAGUCAAUGCCAAAUCGAAAAAAUGCAGAGGCCCGGCAGACUGGAGGGGGUCCACCACCUGCAGCCCUCACAGAGGCUGAGGAGAUGGCCCUCAGCCAACAGAGUAUGCGUCCUGUGGCUGAGGGCAUCCCUGGGGGGAGCUCCUCUGAUCCCCCCCACCCCCCAGGAUAGAAGUGCCUUUACAGUAUAAGAGUUACUGAUGGCGUCAUCGCCCUACUUGAACCAGAUGCCCUCACCAACCUCCAUGCAAGUGUAACAAUUCAAAAGAUGCA
Gadus chalcogrammus (walleye pollock) is the source of this 641-nucleotide long non-coding RNA. RefSeq lists it as uncharacterized. Lineage: Eukaryota; Metazoa; Chordata; Actinopteri; Gadiformes; Gadidae. The transcript has 3 exons. The record is from RefSeq and is a predicted model, not a curated record.